GUGAGUAAUGCAUNGNAUCUGCCCGAUAGUGGGGAUAACCUGGGAAACUCAGGCUNAUACCGCAUACGUCCUACGGGAGAAAGCAGGGNAUCUUCGGACCUUGCGCUAUCGGAUGAGCCUAUGUCGGAUUAGCUUGUUGGUGAGGUAAUGGCUCACCAAGGCGACGAUCCGUAGCUGGUCUGAGAGGAUGAUCAGCCACAUCGGGACUGAGACACGGCCCGAACUCCUACGGGAGGCAGCAGUGGGGAAUAUUGGACAAUGGGCGAAAGCCUGAUCCAGCCAUGCCGCGUGUGUGAAGAAGGCUUUCGGGUUGUAAAGCACUUUCAGUGAGGAAGAACGCCUUCGGCUUAAUACGCCGGAGGAAAGACAUCACUCACAGAAGAAGCACCGGCUAACUCCGUGCCAGCAGCCGCGGUAAUACGGAGGGUGCGAGCGUUAAUCGGAAUUACUGGGCGUAAAGCGCGCGUAGGUGGCUUGAUAAGCCGGUUGUGAAAGCCCCGGGCUCAACCUGGGAACGGCAUCCGGAACUGUCAGGCUAGAGUGCAGGAGAGGAAGGUAGAAUUCCCGGUGUAGCGGUGAAAUGCGUAGAGAUCGGGAGGAAUACCAGUGGCGAAGGCGGCCUUCUGGACUGACACUGACACUGAGGUGCGAAAGCGUGGGUAGCAAACAG
Molecule: ribosomal RNA, 670 nt
Filed under: Halobacillus sp. TA6
Lineage: Bacteria; Bacillati; Bacillota; Bacilli; Caryophanales; Bacillaceae
Description: bacterial SSU rRNA
Rfam family: Bacterial small subunit ribosomal RNA
Source: RNAcentral